This 466-nucleotide ribosomal RNA is filed under the name uncultured bacterium. RNAcentral describes it as "partial 16S ribosomal RNA". It matches the Rfam family "Bacterial small subunit ribosomal RNA", at positions 28 to 507 of the family's 1533-position model. The record is from RNAcentral.
GAUGAACGCUGGCGGCGUGCUUAACACAUGCGAGUCGAACGGAAAGGCUCCUGCUUGCAGGGGUACUCGAGUGGCGAACGGGUGAGUAACACGUGGGUGAUCUGCCCUGCACUUCGGGAUAAGCCUGGGAAACUGGGUCUAAUACCGGAUAGGACGAUGGUUUGGAUGCCAUUGUGGAAAGUUUUUCGGUGUGGGAUGAGCUCGCGGCCUAUCAGCUUGUUGGUGGGGUAAUGGCCUACCAAGGCGUCGACGGGUAGCCGGCCUGAGAGGGUGUACGGCCACAUUGGGACUGAGAUACGGCCCAGACUCCUACGGGAGGCAGCAGUGGGGAAUAUUGCACAAGGGGCGCAAGCCUGAUGCAGCGACGCCGCGUGGGGGAUGACGGCCUUCGGGUUGUAAACUCCUUUCGCUAGGGACGAAGCGUUUUGUGACGGUACCUGGAGAAGAAGCACCGGCUAACUACGUG